This is a long non-coding RNA of Pomacea canaliculata, 2131 nucleotides long. RefSeq lists it as uncharacterized. The transcript is spliced from 6 exons. NCBI's taxonomy places the organism in Eukaryota, Metazoa, Mollusca, Gastropoda, Architaenioglossa, Ampullariidae. The record is from RefSeq and is a predicted model, not a curated record.
CCUUGUCAUUAAAAGCCACCCAAAGCUCGAGAACUGCAGCAUAACCAGCGACGGUUUUACUGUGACUGGCAUCUGUCGAGUGACAAACGCCUACUCCUCUGAUGACACUUACAGAUGUAUCUGGAAGCAGAAUAACAUACAACAAAAUGUAUCCUAUGCAGAAAGUACUAAACUCAGCAACCAGACUGGACGCGAGUACUUGGAGAACUGGACCUGCUCCUUCUCACAGCCUUUACCACGCGAGGAUGGAAUAUACAACUACACCAUCUCUGCUGACACUUUCAGAUACAGGAAUAUUCAAGUAUAAUUACCGUAGAGACACCCGGAAAUCUGUCCACGACAUGUCCGGAGGUGAUAGAAGAAGGGGAAAGCCUCAGAUGCCAAUGCGAGACAAACAAAACUGGAACUCCACCUGGUCUAGUAUUAUGGGAUGGAUAUAAGAGUGACACUCUCGAAAUUGGAAACGUAAGCCUGGAGGACAACGGCUCAAACUUUACGUGUCUGCUAGUGUGGCGCAAUGACACGUACAGAGUCUUACUCUACUCACUGACAGUGACACAGACUGUGACCAGAAUCCGGUCUAAUAAGAACACAGACGGGAAAAGACGGCCUUUGAUAAAGAAACGAACCCGAGAUCGCGCUCUUCGGAUUAAGUUUGCGUCACGGACCUGCUGCGCGCUUUGCUGACCUUUGUCGCCCCAAAACCGCAGCUUUUUCACUGGACUUUCCGCCGGCAGACAACUCUUGAGUUGGCAGACGGACAACAGUGUCUUUUCACUCUCAAUUUGCCGUAUGUUCGUACGCAUCAUGAUCCUUAUCAAGUUACAGGCUAAUGUUGACGGAGUCUCGCCAAGUCAUCUGGAGCAACAACAACACAAAUAUGAGGCCACAGAUGCAAGAACGAGGAAACACCUACUCUGGACUCUAAGAGUGGGAGAAGUAAGAUAGGAAAAUCGCAUGGCACGAAAUUGUACUAGGAUAGGAAGGACGUUACCUAACGAUAAUUAUUCUUUAUGAAGGUGGUGGUGGUGGUGAUGAUGAUGGUGGUGGUGGUGGUUAAAUAGUUUUUCUCUACCUAUCUGUUGUUUCAUCGGUACGAUAGGGACCUAUACUUCCUGACCCGAAAAGAACACUUGUAUUUUUUUCUUAGUAAAUCUCUAUAACACAUCUGCUUUUAAAUUUUGUUUUCAGCAUUUAUAAUUUCUCCUUAGAAUUUUUGUAAUAGUUGCUGAAAGUUUAUUUCUCUUUAGCGGCUUGCUCAACCGUCGACCGUCGGAAAGGUGGGUCUUUUCUUGGAUCUUUUUAUGGCUUAUGAGCUCCUUUUUCUGCAGGUUCACAGUCACAGAACAGAAACUUUGCAUUGCUAUACGUGGGUGUGUUUUCAUCGUUUGUUACCCCCACCCCCGAAUUUUUUUUUCUUUCCUUAGAAAGUAAACUUUUUCUGGGAGUGGACAAGGCAAUAAGCUGUUAUCAAGAGGCAUUAUAAAAGCAAACGAAUUAAAAGAGCGAAAGGUGUCAGACGAUCAAAGUAUAAAAACAUUUUAUUACGUUUAAGCCGUGAAAGGCGUUUUUGUGUUGAACUGUAUAACUAAAUACAACGUUUGUGAGGAUUGUGAUGUAUAAUUUCUCAAAAGGAAAGCUGGCUGUGAUAAAAUGGUGCAAAACCAGGAACAUAUACCCUGCUGAUCAAUUGUAGAAAACGCAAAGCCAAUUAAAUUACAAAAUUAAAGGAGUCAAAGUCAAGGCUCAUGCUAAAUAAAAAUUUAAAGGUGUGGAGGGGUGGGGUGAGGUUCCAAGAAGUUGAUGAACUUGGAGCUAGUUGUAUGGGUCUCAGUUAUUGGUCAGCGAUCAAGGGAAAACUGAAAAUGCAUUGCAGCAUUCCAACCAUUACAUUUUUAUUUCUCUCCUUUCCUAUCUCUCUCUUUCACGCACACAAACCAAAACAUUGAUAGUUAAGGUCACAUUUUUUAUUAUAAAGAUAAUAUUUAUGGUAUAAAAUGAUUUGCUGUUAGUUGUUCUUUGUAUGUAUGUUGUAUAUGAAACAAAAUCACAUACAGUAAAAGCACUCAAAACACAUGCCCACAAACACUUACUUUUGUUCACAACUUAUCUACCUAUAUGUGUUCUCGCA